Molecule: long non-coding RNA, 1435 nt
Filed under: Olea europaea subsp. europaea
Lineage: Eukaryota; Viridiplantae; Streptophyta; Magnoliopsida; Lamiales; Oleaceae
Source: RNAcentral
GCUGGAUAACAGAAAAUAACAGGAAACUAUUUCUAAUAUGCCCCCUCAAGAUGGAAUGUAAAUGUCUUUUACAUUCAUCUUGGAUAACAACGGAAUAAGGACCGUAUCUGGAAGUGGUUUUUUGAAGACAUUGGCAAGCUGAUGUUGUGAACGAACUGGCAAUAAUUUGAUGACUCCAGCAUUAAUCUUGUCUCGAAAAGCGGGACUAUGUGCAAUCUGAAUUGCGGCCUGGUUGUAACAAAAAAGAACUGCUGGUGAUGCUACACAAAUUUGAAAGUCUUCCAAUAACUGGUUGAUCACUUCACUAAUGGUUGCUAAAAGUGCCCUGUAUUCUACCUCAGCUGAAGAGCAAGAGACUCUAGAUUGGCACUUAACUUUCCAGGAUACCACCGAGUCGCCUAGAAAAAUACAAAAUCCAGUGAUGGAUUUUCUUGUGUCAAGACAAGAGCCCUAGUCUGCCUCCGAGAAAGGACGAAGUUUGAUGCUUGAUUGAUGGCUAGAUAAAGCAGAAAAUAACAAGCCUUGACCAAGAUUGCCUUUGAGGUAACGAAGGAGGUGAUGCACUGCAUUUGAGAUGUGGCAUUCUAGGUUGAGACAGAUAUUGGCUCAGCUUGUAAACAGCAAAGGUUAUAUCAAGUCAUGAAAUGGUUAAGUAAAUCAGCUUCCUAAUCAACCGACGAUAAUGUGAUGCAUCUGGUAACAAGUUCCCAUUAUGAAUGCUUAUGUUAAUAUUUGGAUCCAUGGGUGUGCUGGUUGGCUUGCAAUCUAAGUAACCAGCAUCCUCCAACAACUGAAGUGUGUAAUGUCUUUGAGAUAUGACAAUACCAGUUUGAGAUCGAGAAAUCUCAAUCCCCAAAAAAUACUUCAAGGUACCUAAUUCUUUGAGCUAAAACUGGGAGUGUAGAAACACCUUUAAAGACUUAAUUACUUGAAUGUUUGGCCCUGUGAUAACGAUGUCAUCAACGUAUACAAGUAAAGCAACAAAGUCGGGUCCAGAUCCCUAGUGAAUAGAGAGUAGUCAGCUUUUGAUUGAUGGAAACCACAAUGAAUAAGGGCUUGAGUGAACUUUGCAUUCCAUUGUUUGGAGGCGUGUUUGAGGCCAUAAAUUGACUUGUUCAGUUUGCAUACUAAUCUCUUUCCUUGUUGGAACAUUUGGGAGUCUCAUAGCCCAUAGGAAAGUCCACGUAUACUUCUUCGAACAAGUCACCAUUCAAGAAGGCGUUGCUGACAUCUAGCUGGACAAGAUGCCAUUUAUGCCAAGCUGCAAGAGCCAAUAACAUUUUGACAAUGGCUAUUUUAGCAACUGGGGAACAGGUUUCAAAGCAAUCAAGACCUUCCUGCUGUGUAAAGCCUUUAGCCACCAACAGUGCUUUGUGUCUAUCCAAAGUUCCAUCAGAUUUAUACUUAAUUUUGUAGAUCCAUUUGCAACCUAUGG